AUUGAACGCUGGCGGCAUGCCUUACACAUGCAAGUCGAACGGCAGCACGGGAGCUUGCUCCUGGUGGCGAGUGGCGAACGGGUGAGUAAUACAUCGGAACGUACCCAGGAGUGGGGGAUAACGUAGCGAAAGUUACGCUAGUACCGCAUAUUCUGUGAGCAGGAAAGCGGGGGAUCGCAAGACCUCGCGCUCUUGGAGCGGCGGAUGUCGGAUUAGCUAGUUGGUGAGGUAAAAGCUCACCAAGGCGACGAUCCGUAGCAGGUCUGAGAGGAUGAUCAGCCAAACUGGGACUGAGACACGGCCCAGACUCCGACGGGAGGCAGCAGUGGGGAAUUUUGGACAAUGGGGGCAACCCUGAUCCAGCCAUGCCGCGUGAGUGAAGAAGGCCUUCGGGUUGUAAAGCUCUUUCGGCGGGGAAGAAAUGGCAACGGCUAAUAUCCGUUGUUGAUGACGGUACCCGCAUAAGAAGCACCAGCUAACUACGUGCCAGCCGCCGCCGUAA
Molecule: ribosomal RNA, 502 nt
Filed under: uncultured bacterium
Lineage: Bacteria
Description: partial 16S ribosomal RNA
Rfam family: Bacterial small subunit ribosomal RNA
Source: RNAcentral